This 810-nucleotide ribosomal RNA is filed under the name uncultured bacterium. RNAcentral describes it as "bacterial SSU rRNA". It matches the Rfam family "Bacterial small subunit ribosomal RNA", at positions 8 to 796 of the family's 1533-position model. The record is from RNAcentral.
AGAGUUUGAUCAUGGCUCAGAACGAACGCUGGCGGCGUGGAUAAGACAUGCAAGUCGAGCGGGAUUUCUUUUGGUAGCAAUACCGAGAGAAAUUCAGCGGCGAACGGGUGCGUAACACGUGGGCAAUUUGCCUUAAAGUGUGGGAUAGCUCGGCGAAAGCCGAAUUAAUACCGCAUGUGGCUACUGGAGACAUCUUCGGGACGCUAAAGGUGGCGCAAGCUACCGCUUUUUGAGGAGCCCGCGGCCUAUCAGCUUGUUGGCGAGGUAACGGCUCACCAAGGCGAUGACGGGUAGCUGGUCUGAGAGGACGACCAGCCACACUGGGACUGAGACACGGCCCAGACACCUACGGGUGGCAGCAGUCGAGAAUUUUUGACAAUGGGGGAAACCCUGAUCGAGCGACGCCGCGUGGAGGAUGAAGGUCUUCGGGUUGUAAACUCCUGUCAUUUGGGAACAAGGCGUAUGUGUUAACUGUACGUGCGUUGAUAGUACCAGAAGAGGAAGAGACGGCUAACUCUGUGCCAGCAGCCGCGGUAAUACAGAGGUCUCAAGCGUUGUUCGGAUUCAUUGGGCGUAAAGGGUGUGUAGGUGGCGCGCUAAGUCGGGUGUGAAAUUUCGGAGCUUAACUCCGAAACUGCAUUCGAUACUGGCGUGCUUGAGGACUGGAGAGGAGACUGGAAUUUACGGUGUAGCAGUGAAAUGCGUAGAUAUCGUAAGGAAGACCAGUGGCGAAGGCGGGUCUCUGGACAGUUCCUGACACUGAGACACGAAGGCCAGGGGAGCAAACGGGAUUAGAUACCCUAGUAGUCC